GUUAUAUUCAGCUCUCAGGCAGGCAGACGGUGCCAGAUUUUUGAAAGCCACCGAGUGAGUAGAUAUCCAGCGUUCUUCCUGACCUGACCACGAUCACGAACACAUUUUUGACCCUUGGAUUUUCCUGCCUUGCCUUGCCCACGUCGGAUUCUUCACUGGCUUCUGUUUUCUGGUCUCGACCCUGUUUCUGCCUUUUGACCUCUGCCUCCUGCCUCGCCCUUGGAUAUUGUCUGCCUGAGAUUGCCUGCUAGUACUGGACCCUUUUUCCGUGACCUGACCACUGCUCUUCGCCCAACCCUCAGAUACGUUUGUCUGGUCCUGCCUGUCCUAAACCCUGUGCCUCCCAGUCCUGUCCUUCCCUAGGUGUGCCACUUGUCUCUUCCACUGUGCUACCUGGAUCCCUCAUCCCCCACAACACCAGGAAGAGGUUCCUGUUCCUUGCUCGUGGUUCCCCGUCCCUAUACCUGGUCCUCAAUAAAGACCUUAUUGAUUUUUA
Long non-coding RNA from Poecilia reticulata (guppy), 496 nucleotides. RefSeq lists it as uncharacterized. The record is from RefSeq and is a predicted model, not a curated record. Lineage: Eukaryota; Metazoa; Chordata; Actinopteri; Cyprinodontiformes; Poeciliidae.